This 1433-nucleotide ribosomal RNA is filed under the name uncultured bacterium. Its description in RNAcentral is "bacterial SSU rRNA". It matches the Rfam family "Bacterial small subunit ribosomal RNA". The record is from RNAcentral.
AGAGUUUGAUCAUGGCUCAGAACGUACGCUGGCGGCACGCCUAACACAUGCAAGUCGAACGAAGUAGCAAUACUUAGCGGCAGACGGGUGAGUAACAUGUAGGUAUCUGCCCUUUGGCCUGGAAUAACACGAGGAAACUUGUGCUAAUACCGGAUAAGUCUUUACGGAGAAAGCUUUAUGCACCAUUGGAUGAGCCUGCACUUGAUUAGUUUGUUGGUGGGGUAAUGGCCUACCAAGACUUUGAUCAAUAGCUGAUUUGAGAGGAUGAUCAGCCACAUUGGGACUGAGACACGGCCCAAACUCCUACGGGAGGCAGCAGUGGGGAAUCUUGCACAAUGGAGGAAACUCUGAUGCAGCGAUGCCGCGUGAGUGAAGAAGGCCCUUGGGUUGUAAAGCUCUUUCGUCGGGGAAGAAAAUGACUGUACCCGAAUAAGAAGGUCCGGCUAACUUCGUGCCAGCAGCCGCGGUAAUACGAAGGGACCUAGCGUAGUUCGGAAUUACUGGGCUUAAAGAGUUCGUAGGUGGUUGAAAAAGUUGGUGGUGAAAUCCCAGAGCUUAACUCUGGAACUGCCAUCAAAACUUUUCAGCUAGAGUUUGAUAGAGGAAAGCAGAAUUUCUAGUGUAGAGGUGAAAUUCGUAGAUAUUAGAAAGAAUACCAAUUGCGAAGGCAGCUUUCUGGAUCAUUACUGACACUGAGGAACGAAAGCAUGGGUAGCGAAGAGGAUUAGAUACCCUCGUAGUCCAUGCCGUAAACGAUGUGUGUUAGACGUUGGAAAUUUAUUUUCAGUGUCGCAGCGAAAGCGAUAAACACACCGCCUGGGGAGUACGACCGCAAGGUUAAAACUCAAAUGAAUUGACGGGGACCCGCACAAGUAGUGGAGCAUGUGGUUUAAUUCGAAGAUACGCGCAGAACCUUACCAACACUUGACAUGUUCGUCGCGACUUUAAGAGAUUAAAGUUUUCGGUUCGGCCGGACGAAACACAGGUGCUGCAUGGCUGUCGUCAGCUCGUGUCGUGAGAUGUUGGGUUAAGUCCCGCAACGAGCGCAACCCUCACUUUUAGUUGCCAUCAUUAAGUUGGGCACUCUGAAAGAACUGCCAGUGAUAAGCUGGAGGAAGGUGGGGAUGACGUCAAGUCCUCAUGGCCCUUACGUGUUGGGCUACACACGUGCUACAAUGGUAUCUACAACAGGAAGCAAAACGGCGACGUUAAGCAAAUCCUUAAAAGAUACCUCAGUUCGGAUUGCACUCUGCAACUCGAGUGCAUGAAGCUGGAAUUACUAGUAAUCGUGGAUCAGCGUGCCACGGUGAAUGCGUUCCCGGGUCUUGUACACACCGCCCGUCACACCAUGGGAGUUGGUUCUACCUUAAGGCAAGGUUUUAAACCCUUGACCACGGUAUAGUCAGCGACUGGGGUGAAGUCGUAACAAGGUA